This 253-nucleotide ribosomal RNA is filed under the name uncultured bacterium. Its description in RNAcentral is "partial 16S ribosomal RNA". It matches the Rfam family "Bacterial small subunit ribosomal RNA", at positions 524 to 776 of the family's 1533-position model. The record is from RNAcentral.
GACGAACCGUGCAAACGUUGUUCGGAAUCACUGGGCUUAAAGGGCGCGUAGGCGGGUUCCCAAGUCGGUGGUGAAAUCUUUCGGCCCAACCGGAAAAGUGCCGCCGAUACUGGGAGUCUCGAGGGAGGUAGGGGUCGAUGGAACUUCCGGUGGAGCGGUGAAAUGCGUAGAUAUCGGAAGGAACGCCGGUGGCGAAAGCGGCGCGCUGGACCUCUUCUGACGCUGAGGCGCGAAAGCCAGGGGAGCAAACGGG